CUUGGAUCUCUCAUGACUUAUGAGCUGACCAUAGAAUAAUAUUCUGAAGAAGAGACUAGAAGAAAGAAGAUAAUUGCCAUCAAAUUAAUGGUUCAAGAAGAAGAAGAUUCAGAAAAAUCAAAAAAUAGUGAAGAUGAUGAGGAUUUAGCAUUGAUCACAAAAAAAUUCAGAUGAUUUAUGAAAAAAAGAAAAUAAAAGACCAAAAGAAGACCACU
This 215-nucleotide long non-coding RNA is filed under the name Elaeis guineensis (African oil palm). Its description in RNAcentral is "long non-coding RNA (EGUI_LNC024994)". Lineage: Eukaryota; Viridiplantae; Streptophyta; Magnoliopsida; Arecales; Arecaceae. The record is from RNAcentral.